RNAcentral lists this ribosomal RNA (489 nucleotides) under Bacillus sp. WA. RNAcentral's name for it is "bacterial SSU rRNA". It matches the Rfam family "Bacterial small subunit ribosomal RNA", at positions 102 to 577 of the family's 1533-position model. The record is from RNAcentral. Lineage: Bacteria; Bacillati; Bacillota; Bacilli; Caryophanales; Bacillaceae.
ACGGGUGAGUAACACGUGGGUAACCUGCCUGUAAGACUGGGAUAACUCCGGGAAACCGGAGCUAAUACCGGAUAGUUCCUUGAACCGCAUGGUUCAAGGAUGAAAGACGGUUUCGGCUGUCACUUACAGAUGGACCCGCGGCGCAUUAGCUAGUUGGUGGGGUAAUGGCUCACCAAGGCGACGAUGCGUAGCCGACCUGAGAGGGUGAUCGGCCACACUGGGACUGAGACACGGCCCAGACUCCUACGGGAGGCAGCAGUAGGGAAUCUUCCGCAAUGGACGAAAGUCUGACGGAGCAACGCCGCGUGAGUGAUGAAGGUUUUCGGAUCGUAAAGCUCUGUUGUUAGGGAAGAACAAGUGCGAGAGUAACUGCUCGCACCUUGACGGUACCUAACCAGAAAGCCACGGCUAACUACGUGCCAGCAGCCGCGGUAAUACGUAGGUGGCAAGCGUUGUCCGGAAUUAUUGGGCGUAAAGGGCUCGCAGGCG